RNAcentral lists this ribosomal RNA (462 nucleotides) under Nocardia sienata. RNAcentral describes it as "bacterial SSU rRNA". It matches the Rfam family "Bacterial small subunit ribosomal RNA", at positions 28 to 507 of the family's 1533-position model. The record is from RNAcentral. Lineage: Bacteria; Bacillati; Actinomycetota; Actinomycetes; Mycobacteriales; Nocardiaceae.
GACGAACGCUGGCGGCGUGCUUAACACAUGCAAGUCGAGCGGUAAGGCCCUUCGGGGUACACGAGCGGCGAACGGGUGAGUAACACGUGGGUGAUCUGCCUUGCACUCUGGGAUAAGCCUGGGAAACUGGGUCUAAUACCGGAUAUGACCUUCGGCUUCCUGGUCGAUGGUGGAAAGAUUUAUCGGUGCAAGAUGAGCCCGCGGCCUAUCAGCUUGUUGGUGGGGUAAUGGCCUACCAAGGCGACGACGGGUAGCCGGCCUGAGAGGGCGACCGGCCACACUGGGACUGAGACACGGCCCAGACUCCUACGGGAGGCAGCAGUGGGGAAUAUUGCACAAUGGGCGGAAGCCUGAUGCAGCGACGCCGCGUGAGGGAUGACGGCCUUCGGGUUGUAAACCUCUUUCGACUCCGACGAAGCGAAAGUGACGGUAGGAGUAUAAGAAGCACCGGCCAACUACGUG